UUUGGCCUCGGAUCAGG
This 17-nucleotide ribosomal RNA is filed under the name Veronaeopsis simplex. Its description in RNAcentral is "partial 28S large subunit ribosomal RNA". The record is from RNAcentral. Lineage: Eukaryota; Fungi; Ascomycota; Dothideomycetes; Venturiales; Sympoventuriaceae.